This 145-nucleotide long non-coding RNA is filed under the name Mustela putorius furo (domestic ferret). RNAcentral describes it as "lncRNA (ENSMPUG00000029654.1)". The record is from RNAcentral. Lineage: Eukaryota; Metazoa; Chordata; Mammalia; Carnivora; Mustelidae.
CCUUAAGUGGGGGUGGGACCUGGGACUUGCUUCUAGCCCACAGGAUGUGGCAGAGGUGAUGCCAGAGUCAAACCUUUCAUCUGGUGCUCUGUGAUCCUGCUUCUCACAAGGUCCCAGCUGCUGAAUAAUCAUUACCAAUUAGGAU